AUUGAACGCUGGCGGCAUGCCUUACACAUGCAAGUCGAACGGUAACGCGGGGCAACCUGGCGACGAGUGGCGAACGGGUGAGUAAUGCAUCGGAACGUGCCCAGUAGUGGGGGAUAGCCCGGCGAAAGCCGGAUUAAUACCGCAUACGACCUACGGGUGAAAGCGGGGGACCGUAAGGCCUCGCGCUGUUGGAGCGGCCGAUGUCAGAUUAGGUAGUUGGUGGGGUAAAGGCCUACCAAGCCUUCGAUCUGUAGCUGGUCUGAGAGGACGACCAGCCACACUGGGACUGAGACACGGCCCAGACUCCUACGGGAGGCAGCAGUGGGGAAUUUUGGACAAUGGGCGCAAGCCUGAUCCAGCCAUGCCGCGUGCGGGAA
This 377-nucleotide ribosomal RNA is filed under the name uncultured bacterium. RNAcentral's name for it is "bacterial SSU rRNA". It matches the Rfam family "Bacterial small subunit ribosomal RNA", at positions 29 to 409 of the family's 1533-position model. The record is from RNAcentral.